This 473-nucleotide ribosomal RNA is filed under the name uncultured organism. RNAcentral describes it as "partial 16S ribosomal RNA". It matches the Rfam family "Bacterial small subunit ribosomal RNA", at positions 332 to 797 of the family's 1533-position model. The record is from RNAcentral.
UACACUCCUGCGGGAGGCAGCAGUGGGGAAUUUUGGACAAUGGGCGAAAGCCUGAUCCAGCAAUGCCGCGUGAGUGAAGAAGGCCUUCGGGUUGUAAAGCUCUUUUGUCAGGGAAGAAACGGUGAAAGCUAAUAUCUUUUGCUAAUGACGGUACCUGAAGAAUAAGCACCGGCUAACUACGUGCCAGCAGCCGCGGUAAUACGUAGGGUGCAAGCGUUAAUCGGAAUUACUGGGCGUAAAGCGUGCGCAGGCGGUUUUGUAAGUCUGAUGUGAAAUCCCCGGGCUCAACCUGGGAAUUGCAUUGGAGACUGCAAGGCUAGAAUCUGGCAGAGGGGGGUAGAAUUCCACGUGUAGCAGUGAAAUGCGUAGAUAUGUGGAGGAACACCGAUGGUGAAGGCAGCCCCCUGGGUCAAGAUUGACGCUCAUGCACGAAAGCGUGGGGAGCAAACAGGAUUAGAAACCCCAGUAGUCCC